This is a long non-coding RNA of Astyanax mexicanus (Mexican tetra), 194 nucleotides long. RefSeq lists it as uncharacterized. NCBI's taxonomy places the organism in Eukaryota, Metazoa, Chordata, Actinopteri, Characiformes, Acestrorhamphidae. The record is from RefSeq and is a predicted model, not a curated record. The transcript has 2 exons.
AUAUUAUCAUAUUUGCUACUAACAAUUAUUAAAACAUGGCUAUAUAUGUUUAAGCAGUGUGCACCCCAGAGGGCUAUGAUGAUGUCGCUUAUGGGCAGGAUGUAGGAGGUGUAGCAGGUGAUGGAGACUAUGGAGACAUUGUGGAGGUGGCAAAGGGGCCUGAGGCAAAUGGAUAGAUCAUCUAACAGAGACUG